CGAACGCUGGCGGCGUGCUUAACACAUGCAAGUCGAGCGGUAAGGCCCUUUCGGGGGUACACGAGCGGCGAACGGGUGAGUAACACGUGGGUGACCUGCCCUUAGCUCUGGGAUAAGCCUGGGAAACUGGGUCUAAUACCGGAUAUGACUCCAUGACGCAUGUUGUGGGGUGGAAAGCCUUGUGCGGCUAGGGAUGGGCCCGCGGCCUAUCAGCUUGUUGGUGGGGUGAUGGCCUACCAAGGCGACGACGGGUAGCCGGCCUGAGAGGGCGACCGGCCACACUGGGACUGAGACACGGCCCAGACUCCUACGGGAGGCAGCAGUGGGGAAUCUUGCGCAAUGGGCGAAAGCCUGACGCAGCGACGCCGUGUGCGGGAAGAAGGCCUUCGGUUGUAACCGUACUUC
RNAcentral lists this ribosomal RNA (405 nucleotides) under uncultured bacterium. RNAcentral's name for it is "bacterial SSU rRNA". It matches the Rfam family "Bacterial small subunit ribosomal RNA", at positions 30 to 438 of the family's 1533-position model. The record is from RNAcentral.